This 460-nucleotide ribosomal RNA is filed under the name uncultured bacterium. Its description in RNAcentral is "partial 16S ribosomal RNA". It matches the Rfam family "Bacterial small subunit ribosomal RNA", at positions 338 to 795 of the family's 1533-position model. The record is from RNAcentral.
CCUACGGGAGGCUGCAGUGAGGAAUAUUGGUCAAUGGGCUUACGCCUGAACCAGCCAAGUCGCGUGAGGGAAGACUGCCCUAUGGGUUGUAAACCUCUUUUGUCAGGGAGCAAUUGGCGCUACGUGUAGCGUUAUCGAGAGUACCUGAAGAAAAAGCAUCGGCUAACUCCGUGCCAGCAGCCGCGGUAAUACGGAGGAUGCGAGCGUUAUCCGGAUUUAUUGGGUUUAAAGGGUGCGUAGGCGGAAUGCCAAGUCAGCGGUAAAAUCGCGGGGCUCAACCUCGCUCCGACGUUGAAACUGGCGGUCUUGAGUGGGCGAGGAGUAUGCGGAAUGCGUGGUGUAGCGGUGAAAUGCAUAGAUAUCACGAAGAACUCCGAUUGCGAAGGCAGCAUACCGGCGCCCAACUGACGCUGAAGCACGAAAGCGUGGGUAUCGAACAGGAUUAGAUACCCCUGUAGUC